CACCGGCCGAGCCGGCUUCGCCCCCCGCCUCUGGGGCGGCGGCUCCCACCCGCAGCCCGCGAGCGGGUUCGCGGCGGAGCGGGUAGGGCGGUUUGGCUCCUCUGAAAUGCCUCGCUAAAUGGCAGGGGAAAACAUAUGGCCCAGGAGAAAGCCGCUGGAAGCGAUAGCUGUUGGACUCCUCCGAGUUAUUUCCCCGAGUCGGUGUUGCUGCAGGGAGCCUCUGGGAGCCCAAGGGUGGAGAGAUCUACCUUCAUCUGAAGAUCUCUGCUAA
RNAcentral lists this long non-coding RNA (271 nucleotides) under Parus major (Great Tit). RNAcentral's name for it is "lncRNA (ENSPMJG00000015720.1)". The record is from RNAcentral. Lineage: Eukaryota; Metazoa; Chordata; Aves; Passeriformes; Paridae.